This 374-nucleotide RNase P RNA is filed under the name Atribacterota bacterium. Its description in RNAcentral is "RNase P RNA component class A". It matches the Rfam family "Bacterial RNase P class A". From Rfam's summary of the family: Ribonuclease P (RNase P) is a ubiquitous endoribonuclease, found in archaea, bacteria and eukarya as well as chloroplasts and mitochondria. Its best characterised activity is the generation of mature 5'-ends of tRNAs by cleaving the 5'-leader elements of precursor-tRNAs. Lineage: Bacteria; Pseudomonadati; Atribacterota. The record is from RNAcentral.
UAAGUAGAUCAGGUAAUCGCGGAAGAAAUGCUAUUUCUUUCGAGGAAAGUCCGAGCUCCACAGGGCAGAGUGCUGGGUAACCCCCAGUGAGGGUAACCUUAAGGAAAGUGCUACAGAAAAUACACAGCUGGGCACUCAAUUUUGAGUACUCAGUAAAGGUGAAAAGGCAGGGUAAGAGCCUACCAGUUGUUAGGUGACUAAUAAGCUUAGUAAACCCCACUCGGAGCAAGACCAAAUAGGAAGAGCUGUGGUGGCCCGCUGAAUCUUCGGGUAGGUCGCUAGAGGUGUAAGGUAACUUACAUCCCAGAUAGAUGAUUACCACCCUUAUAAUUUAAUAAGGGGACAGAACUCGGCUUAUACGAUCUACUUAUCAA